This 356-nucleotide ribosomal RNA is filed under the name uncultured Coriobacteriales bacterium. Its description in RNAcentral is "partial 16S ribosomal RNA". The record is from RNAcentral. Lineage: Bacteria; Bacillati; Actinomycetota; Coriobacteriia; Coriobacteriales.
GGAGUUUGGACCGUCUCUCAGUUCCAAUGUGGCCGGUCAUCCUCUCAGAUCGGCUACCGAUCGUCGACUUGGUGGGCCGUUACCUCACCAACUAUCUAAUCGGACGCGAACUCACCCCAAACCGGAUUGCUCCUUUUACCCCUGUGCCAUGCGACACCGUGGUCUCAUGCGGUAUUAGCACCUGUUUCCAAGUGUUAUCCCCCUGUCUGGGACAGAUUGUUCACGCGUUACUCACCCGUCCGCCACUCGAAUACAUCCCUUCCAGGCCGAAGCCCUUCCGCAAUGUAUCCCCGUUCGACUUGCAUGUGUUAAGCACGCCGCCAGCGUUCGUCCUCGAGCCACGGAGUCAAACUACU